GGUGCGCGGGUUUACGGUUCGGCGGCGAGGGGAGGGAGGGUUCGCGGGUUCGAGCCCCGCAGCGCCGGAGGACCCGGACCCGGACCCGGACCCGGACCCGCCUCCAGUCUCGGGUGGCCCCGCUUGUCCGCGCGGGAGGGGGUGCGGGAUCGGCUGGAGGCGGGUCUCGCUCAGAGACUGUCCAGUUUGACCAAUGUACAUGGCAGAGGGGCAUUGCUGGCCCAUGAUGGCAUAGAUCACAUUGGUGGAUGUGCAGGACUUUGGGUCUUGUUGCUCUCUGUUCAUGUGAGAAGGACCAGGGAAGUAAGCUGGUGAAGAAAUAAGCCCCUUAACACUGGAAAUGGCCCACCUUGAUUAUCACUACGAAAGGUCCCCCCCACCCGCUCUCCUGCUAGCAAUAGCUCAGCUUACCUGAUCACUCUCCUUACAGUCUGUAUGGUAACACCCAUUGUUUCAU
Molecule: long non-coding RNA, 457 nt
Organism: Chelonia mydas (Green sea turtle)
Lineage: Eukaryota; Metazoa; Chordata; Testudines; Cheloniidae
Exons: 3
Source: RefSeq, a predicted model, not a curated record